AUUGGGUGCUAGUACUAUAAAUAUCAGUGCAAGUGUUAUAAUUCUACUAUGUCUUUAAAUGCUUGCUAAUGACAUUCUGUGUAAGGAACUUAUUACUUGAAUACUAGCAGGAACUAUGUGGCUUUGAUAAUGACAUAUUUCAACUUCUUCCAUUUGACUGAUGAGACAAAACGUCUGAUUAUUAUAGCAUGAGUAUGUGAAUUUGAGAUUAUUUUAAAUUUGUUUUUCCUAUUAUUCUGUGUUCUCCAGCUCAAUCUGAUGCAGAUGAAUUUGGUCAAAGCACCAAAUCUGAAAAGAUAAAAUCAGAUGUAGAGCUAAACAAUGCAUCCACUCACA
This is a long non-coding RNA of Xenia sp. Carnegie-2017, 336 nucleotides long. RefSeq lists it as uncharacterized. The transcript is spliced from 2 exons. NCBI's taxonomy places the organism in Eukaryota, Metazoa, Cnidaria, Anthozoa, Malacalcyonacea, Xeniidae. The record is from RefSeq and is a predicted model, not a curated record.